This 3052-nucleotide non-coding RNA is filed under the name synthetic construct. The record is from RNAcentral.
ACAGUAUCCGCUGCUCUGCAAAGAGAGGAAUCUCUGUCUGCAGACUCCGAGCAAGAGGAGAGUGAUAUUACUUGUUGGAGGCUCGAUGGAUUACCGACAGUUACCGCGCGUAUUGGGUGAGGAUGGAGAGGACACUGCGGCCUCUUCCUGGAAUACAUUUCUACUUAUGCAAAGUAUAGAGGGGGCUCUAGUUAUUCCUUAUGAAAAAUUUCCAACAAUGGUGUCAUAUAUGAUGUAUGCAGCAAACCAUGUUUCCACUGAAGAUAUGGAUGGGAAGCCAUCGUUUAUUGCACCCCCUAUUUGGGAAAGAUGCUUCCACACUAAAUUCACGCCAGGGGACACCCUUGGAGAAGGUGGCUUUGGGCGGGUUUCUACCAUGGCAUCAGAUGACACGCUCUGCAUAAAAUAUAUCCCAAAAUUGACAGCACUGUACAAGGAGGCUGUGCUGAUGGAUAUCAUUCACCUUACCAGUCUGUUCAAGCCCCAUGGUGCGUCCAAUAAGGUUCUACAGAUGAUGUUUGCGUGUGUAGAAUGCCAAUGCAUCGUGCUUCCAAAAAUGAGAUGUUCUUUGGAUACCUACAGAGAGUGGUCUCCAAACAGUGUUGCUGACACCUUAAGUGGCUUCAGAGGGUUAAUUGAUGGACUGUUGUAUCUAAACUUUACAUGUGGUAUAACACACUGCGAUGUUAGCCCUUCCAAUAUCCUUAUUGGGGCAGGAGGACUUUCAGACAUGGUAUUAUCUGACCUUGGAAUUGCAACAAUUAUAUGUGCGCCCGGCAUGCCUGGAGAAAUACCAAUAUUUUCAAAAAUGCUUGGAAGAGUCACUAACCUAUAUUCAUCAUCAUGUCCCAUGUUUUUUGCCAAAAGAGACUAUAGACCUUCCACCUGCCUGUUUUUGUGUUAUAAGGCCAUAAAGGAGCAAAAAGCUGCAGAAUCCAUUCCAAUGUACUGGAGGACACCACAGGAGGGACUAAGAUUGGACUUGUGCUGUCUUUAUUAUUCCUUUCAGGACUGUCUACUUUGCAUGGCCGGACUUCAAUACAGGGGGCUGGACUUUCUCAAGGUUUCUCCGCCCCCUCCUGACAGGCCUGGGAAAUAUUUAGCUUACAUGAUGCAAAGAACUGUUGUGACUCAGUUCAUAUGUGGAGUCUGGGGCUUGUCUGUUGAAACAGGCUUAGACAUCGACGGAGGAAGCAGCAACAUCCACAUUCCAAGAACUCAUCGGUCAUAUUUUAAAGCUGUGGCAGAAAAGGCUCUGUGUUUGGUACGGCAGCAGUUCACUCCAGAGAAAAGGGUAACAAUUUUAUCUGAAAGUGUUCAAGCUUUCGUUGUGCCUUUUCUAAGAUUGGACUCCUUUAAUCACUGCCAUGGAAGGGUCGAUUAUUCUGGAUUUUUUUGAAAAGGAUGAUUUGUUGGAAGUUCUGGGAAACAUGGCCCGGGAAAAUCAACUAGAAUCACUGGCAACUCUUAAUUUUUCUGCAUUUAUAAGAUCACCCCAAGUUCAAGAGCUCCUGGCAACAUCAAAGACUUCUGUACGUAUUUCUGAUAUGAGGUUGACGUACUAUUACUUUCUGUUUCUCAGACUUAAUGAAUAUAUUGGGAAUACUGCCAUAAUGGGCGUUUUUAAGGACAUGAUGCACCUGACAGACAACAGUGAGGUGUCUGCCGUGUAUGCUGCGUGUCGGGACGUGACCCCAGAUAUAAAGUAUGCAGUGUGCCAGAGAAUAGAAGCCCUGACUAGGGGACAGCAGGAUAAUGAACUAUGGGACAUUCUGCGUGACGGCAUGAUCUCAUCAUCUAAAUUUCAGUGGGCUGUAAAACAACAUAGCAUCAACAAGAAACUGUUUAAUCCACAGCCUAUAAAGGUUAAUCACUAUUUUGCUGGUCCUCUAGCCUUUGGGAUAAGAUGUGAACAAACUGUUAAAAAAAUUUUGAGUGAGCUUAUUCAUCCAAACUUGCCAAGAUUUCAUGAUUGUGGAUUUUUGCCCAGUGCAAUUGAUGGAAUUUUUGGAGUUUCCCUGGACACUGCUUUCAAUGUGUUUACAGAUAGCAGCGGACUUGUGCACUUUGAACCAGAUAGUAUUGUGUAUGAAAUAAAGUCCAGAUAUAAGUACCAGUUUUCAAAAUCUGAAUUUGAUGGUCUGGCCAAGAAAUAUUUGGAUCUCUACAAAAACCCCUGUGAGGCAACUUUUAUCAAGUUCAUAAACUGUAUUUCAAGACCCGCUGUUGAAUAUGUUCCACAUGGAAAACUUCCCUCAGAAAGUGACUAUCUAAUCACCCACUCCAUGAACUGGAAAACCAGCAACAAGAGAAAGCGCAAAAUCACUGAUAGUCAUAUCUGUCUUAAAAAAUGUCUACUUCACAACAUGUAUCAACAAUCAACAGUUUAUAUCUUGUCAGACCCCUCUGAGACUUCUGGAAAAAUCACCAUUAAGGCAUCUUUUCCCAUAGAUGUAUUUGUGAAUCCUGCACACAACUACUUUUACCAGGUGGCGCUCCAAAAUAUGGUUGUUCAAGAUUACAUUGAAUUUGGUCAGGGUGUAUAUAAAAGACUAGGCCAUCAGAAGAAUUUCAUAGCAUCUGGAUUUUUCAGAAAGAGACACUUUUCUGAUCCUGCUGUUUGCUCCAUUGGUAAUUGUGGAAAGUUGGAUACUACAGACGAGAUACCAGUGGCGCUCAUCAUCACUCCUGUUAGGAUUCCAUCUACUGUGCUGCACGAGUACCUCAAGAAAGCAAUUGAUUUUUGGAAUCAGUGUGCUGAGGCAAACUUUGACCAUAUCCCAUGGGGGCAGCUUUCGGAUGUUGCAAGAAAACCCAUAACCCCCUAAAAGAUGUAAGGGGACAACUCAUUGACCUGACAAAGGACUUUGAACUAAUUUCUGAAAACACUGGACUUUUGGUUGAAGACCCCUCUGUUGGUGAGGGGCAUUUAGAGCUUAAACCCAAACCUUAUGGGUCAGACACUGACAGUGAUACAGACAUUGAAUAUGAACGAGGCAAACACGCUUAAUUUGCUUUAAUUACUUUAAUAAAAUGUUUAUAGUUCAUCUUC